UACGUAGGUGGCAAGCGUUGUCCGGAUUUACUGGGUGUAAAGGGCGUGCAGCCGGAGAGACAAGUCAGAUGUGAAAUCCACGGGCUCAACCCGUGAACUGCAUUUGAAACUGUUUCCCUUGAGUGUCGGAGAGGUAAUCGGAAUUCCUAGUGUAGCGGUGAAAUGCGUAGGUAUUAGGAAGAACACCAGUGGCGAAGGCGGAUUACUGGACGAUAACUGACGGUGAGGCGCGAAAGCGUGGGGAGCAAACAGG
This 253-nucleotide ribosomal RNA is filed under the name uncultured bacterium. Its description in RNAcentral is "partial 16S ribosomal RNA". It matches the Rfam family "Bacterial small subunit ribosomal RNA", at positions 524 to 776 of the family's 1533-position model. The record is from RNAcentral.